CUACGGGAGGCAGCAGCAGGGAAUAUUGGACAAUGGGCGCAAGCCUGAUCCAGCCAUGCCGCGUGAGUGAUGACGGCCUUAGGGUUGUAAAGCUCUUUCAACGGUGAAGAUAAUGACGGUAACCGUAGAAGAAGCCCCGGCUAACUUCGUGCCAGCAGCCGCGGUAAUACGAAGGGGGCUAGCGUUGUUCGGAAUAACUGGGCGUAAAGCGCACGUAGGCGGAUUGUUAAGUUAGGGGUGAAAUCCCGGGGCUCAACCCCGGAACUGCCUUUGAUACUGGCAAUCUAGAGUUCGAGAGAGGUGAGUGGAAUUCCGAGUGUAGAGGUGAAAUUCGUAGAUAUUCGGAAGAACACCAGUGGCGAAGGCGGCUCACUGGCUCGAUACUGACGCUGAGGUGCGAAAGCGUGGGGAGCAAACAGGAUUAGAAACCCGUGUAGUCC
This 440-nucleotide ribosomal RNA is filed under the name uncultured bacterium. RNAcentral's name for it is "bacterial SSU rRNA". It matches the Rfam family "Bacterial small subunit ribosomal RNA", at positions 339 to 796 of the family's 1533-position model. The record is from RNAcentral.